UCGCUUUUAGCUUCAAUCCACAUAACAGACACUUCGUGUCGACUUUGUGCGCAUUUUCGCUAUUAUGUGUUCUUUUAAUUAAAAUGAUUCUUUUUAAAUCUCUAAUAUUUGCUUCGGCAUUUUUGGAGAUUUGUUACUUUGAGUAAAUUAGAGUGUUCAAAGCAAACAGAUAUAGCAUUUGUGCGUUUGAAUACUACAGCAUGGAAUAACAAAAUUGAACAAGUCAAAAUUUUUGUUCUUUUUUCUUAUUUUGGCUUAGUUACGAUUAAUAGGAGUAGCUUGGGGGCAUUUGUAUUCAGAUGUCAGAGGUGAAAUUCUUAGAUUUUCUGGAGACAAACAACUGCGAAAGCAUUUGCCUAAAAUACUUCCAUUAAUCAAGAACGAAAGUUAAGGGAGUGAAAACGAUCAGAUACCGUCGUAAUCUUAACCAUAAACUAUGCCGACUAGGCUUUGGAUGAAAGAUUUUAAAAUAAGAG
Molecule: ribosomal RNA, 476 nt
Filed under: Plasmodium coatneyi
Lineage: Eukaryota; Apicomplexa; Aconoidasida; Haemosporida; Plasmodiidae
Description: SSU rRNA
Rfam family: Eukaryotic small subunit ribosomal RNA
Source: RNAcentral